This 1710-nucleotide ribosomal RNA is filed under the name Pseudoalteromonas caenipelagi. RNAcentral's name for it is "Pseudoalteromonas sp. JBTF-M23 partial 23S ribosomal RNA". It matches the Rfam family "Bacterial large subunit ribosomal RNA", at positions 1 to 1765 of the family's 2925-position model. The record is from RNAcentral. Lineage: Bacteria; Pseudomonadati; Pseudomonadota; Gammaproteobacteria; Alteromonadales; Pseudoalteromonadaceae.
GUUGUAUGGUUAAGUGACUAAGCGUACACGGUGGAUGCCUUGGCAGUUGGAGGCGAUGAAGGACGUACUAACUUGCGAUAAGCCUAGUUGAGCCAGUAAGAGGCGCUUGAGACUAGGAUUUCCGAAUGGGGAAACCCACCUGCUUGCAGGUAUCAUAUGGUGAAUACAUAGCCAUAUGAGGCGAACGCGGAGAACUGAAACAUCUAAGUACCCGUAGGAAAAGAAAUCAACCGAGAUUCCGAAAGUAGCGGCGAGCGAAAUCGGACCAGCCCUUAAGCUUUAGUGUAGUUAGUGGAACAUUCUGGAAAGUUUGACGACACAGGGUGAUAGUCCCGUACACAAAAACUUAUCUAAAGUGAAAUCGAGUAGGUCGGAGCACGUGAAACUUUGACUGAAUAUAGGUGGACCAUCAUCUAAGGCUAAAUACUCCCAACUGACCGAUAGUGAACCAGUACCGUGAGGGAAAGGCGAAAAGAACCCCUGUGAGGGGAGUGAAAUAGAACCUGAAACCGUGUACGUACAAGCAGUAGGAGCCCACUUGUUGGGUGACUGCGUACCUUUUGUAUAAUGGGUCAGCGACUUAUAUUUUGUAGCGAGGUUAACCGCAUAGGGUAGCCGUAGCGAAAGCGAGUCUUAACUGGGCGCUUAGUUGCAAGGUAUAGACCCGAAACCCGGUGAUCUAGCCAUGGGCAGGUUGAAGGUUGAGUAACAUCAACUGGAGGACCGAACCCACUAACGUUGAAAAGUUAGGGGAUGACCUGUGGCUAGGAGUGAAAGGCUAAUCAAACCGGGAGAUAGCUGGUUCUCCCCGAAAUCUAUUUAGGUAGAGCCUCGGACGAAUACUUACGGGGGUAGAGCACUGUUAAGGCUAGGGGGUCAUCCCGACUUACCAACCCUUUGCAAACUCCGAAUACCGUAAAGUAAUAUCCGGGAGACACACGGCGGGUGCUAACGUCCGUCGUGAAGAGGGAAACAACCCAGACCGCCAGCUAAGGUCCCAAAGUGUAUGUUAAGUGGGAAACGAUGUGGGAAGGCUAAAACAGCUAGGAGGUUGGCUUAGAAGCAGCCACCCUUUAAAGAAAGCGUAAUAGCUCACUAGUCGAGUCGGCCUGCGCGGAAGAUGUAACGGGGCUAAACAUACCACCGAAGCUGCGGCUGCGAACUUAGUUCGCGGGGUAGGGGAGCGUUCUGUAAGCGGUUGAAGGUGUACCGGGAGGUAUGCUGGACGUAUCAGAAGUGCGAAUGCUGACAUGAGUAACGACAAUGCGGGUGAAAAACCCGCACGCCGGAAGACCAAGGGUUCCUAUCCCAUGUUAAUCAGGGUAGGGUAAGUCGACCCCUAAGGCGAGGCUGAAGAGCGUAGUCGAUGGGAAACGGGUUAAUAUUCCCGUACUUGGAAUAAUUGCGAUGGGGGGACGGAGCAGGCUAAGUAAGCAUGGCGUUGGUUGUCCAUGUGAAAGUGAGUAGGCUGAGAACUUAGGAAAAUCCGGGUUCUUAAGGCUGAGACACGAGACGAGCCACUACGGUGGUGAAGUUACUGAUGCCCUACUUCCAGGAAAAGCCUCUAAGCUUCAGAUUAUUUCGAAUCGUACCCCAAACCGACACAGGUGGUCAGGUAGAGAAUACUAAGGCGCUUGAGAGAACUCGGGUGAAGGAACUAGGCAAAAUUGUACCGUAACUUCGGGAGAAGGUACGCUGACAUUAGGUGAA